Molecule: ribosomal RNA, 460 nt
Filed under: uncultured bacterium
Lineage: Bacteria
Description: partial 16S ribosomal RNA
Rfam family: Bacterial small subunit ribosomal RNA
Source: RNAcentral
CCUACGGGGGGCAGCAGUGAGGAAUAUUGGUCAAUGGACGAGAGUCUGAACCAGCCAAGUAGCGUGAAGGAUGACUGCCCUACGGGUUGUAAACUUCUUUUAUAUGGGAAUAAAACGUUCCACGUGUGGGAUUUUGUAUGUACCAUAUGAAUAAGGAUCGGCUAACUCCGUGCCAGCAGCCGCGGUAAUACGGAGGAUCCGAGCGUUAUCCGGAUUUAUUGGGUUUAAAGGGAGCGUAGGUGGAUUGUUAAGUCAGUUGUGAAAGUUUGCGGCUCAACCGUAAAAUUGCAGUUGAAACUGGCAGUCUUGAGUACAGUAGAGGUGGGCGGAAUUCGUGGUGUAGCGGUGAAAUGCUUAGAUAUCACGAAGAACUCCGAUUGCGAAGGCAGUUCACUGGACUGCAACUGACACUGAGGCUCGAAAGUGUGGGUAUCAAACAGGAUUAGAUACCCCUGUAGUC